UUUUUUUUAAUUUUUCUUCCAAUGUUUGCGUUACAACGCAAACCUUUGCGUUAUAACGCAAACAUUUGUUUUAUCUUAUUUCUUAUUUAAGAUUCAAAGGAAACAGUAGUUAUUAAUAGAGGAGGCUGUAUAUAUUAAAAUGUAUCUCCAUUGUAGUCAUUGCAAAGUAAAAUCCUUGAAUAAUUAGAUCAUAUCAUUGACUUCAAUAAUGAACAGAAUAAUAUAAGAAAAUGUGGUAUGAACGCCAAUAAGAACACUCUCUAUCUAAGUCACUAUUCCUAAAAGUAAACCAUCAUAGGCCAAAGUACGGUCUUCAACACGGAGCAUUGGCUUACACUGAACAACAAACUAUAAAGGUCCCCAGAAACGAUAUCCUUGUUACUUCUAGUAUAUAUAUUACAAAGAAAAUUGAGUAAAUUAAGGUUAUACGGAAGAACAAAAUUCAACCCUGCUAAUAUAGCUAUAACCGAAUAUAAAUAUUCUUCCAAAGUAAGCUCUCGUUUGAGAACUGUGUAAAGUAGGUUGGCAAUAAAUAUAUAGAAUGAAGAUGUUUUAUUAAUAAAAUUAUGUUCUCUCUAAUUCUAAUUUCAAAUUGCUACCCAAGCAUCUUAAAAAUACUUCAUUAUAUUGAAAUGAAAAUUCAAUGACUUUCUAUCAAAGAAUCUUGAUCAUAUUCUGAGAUUUAAAAAAAAAAUGUUUCCUUAAUAAAAAUUCAUUUUAAAGCAGAAAGAUAAAUUUGUCCAUCUGACUUGGAGUUUCACAAUUGUAUGACAUUAUUUUGGAAUUUUCAAUUUAAAUAUAAGUGAAUAUCGAUAGGGGAUUAAUAAAGGAAUCAAAAGAGUAAAAAAAUAUACAGAUCAAUGUGCUUGUUUUCGAGAUAUUAGCCAUUGUAAUUUUGGCGGGAAAAUAUUCUCUCUUGACUUUUCAUAGCUUUAUCAUUGACAACUUUAUAUUCUCAAAAACUAUCAAAGAAUAAGUUAAAUUUUAAAAGACUUUUACAGAUGGCUUAUCAUUAUACAUGUAAAAGAUUUAUAAAAAGAUAAAUGGGGGUCAAUGCCAUUUUUUUUAAGGCAUUCAAAUGAAUAAAACCUGAGGUUUCCGAAAAUCUGACAAAAAAACCAAACAUGACAAGCGAACUACAAUGUACCUUAACUAAGCUCUAAAGCUAAAACCAAGUUAUAGAUUAUCGAUCUUAUAUAUGAAAUUUCUGAAAAAAAAAAUGAUUCUAUUUAUAAUCAGG
RNAcentral lists this long non-coding RNA (1240 nucleotides) under Mytilus galloprovincialis (Mediterranean mussel). Lineage: Eukaryota; Metazoa; Mollusca; Bivalvia; Mytilida; Mytilidae. The record is from RNAcentral.